This 207-nucleotide ribosomal RNA is filed under the name uncultured bacterium. Its description in RNAcentral is "partial 16S ribosomal RNA". It matches the Rfam family "Bacterial small subunit ribosomal RNA", at positions 568 to 774 of the family's 1533-position model. The record is from RNAcentral.
CGCGUAGGUGGUUAGGUAAGCGAGAUGUGAAAGCCCCGGGCUUAACCUGGGAACGGCAUUUCGAACUGUCUGACUAGAGUACGGUAGAGGGUAGUGGAAUUUCCUGUGUAGCGGUGAAAUGCGUAGAUAUAGGAAGGAACACCAGUGGCGAAGGCGGCUACCUGGACCAAUACUGACACUGAGGUGCGAAAGCGUGGGGAGCAAACA